Molecule: long non-coding RNA, 550 nt
Organism: Balaenoptera acutorostrata (minke whale)
Lineage: Eukaryota; Metazoa; Chordata; Mammalia; Artiodactyla; Balaenopteridae
Exons: 3
Source: RefSeq, a predicted model, not a curated record
UCUGCCUCCUGACUGACCCUGCUGCUUCCCCACGUGACUGCUGGGGAAUGCUGUGUACCCCUCUCUUGGGAACCGCAUGAUUCCAAGAGCACCCCAAUCAACCUUGUGACGCUAAUCUCUGACUCAGGGUCUGCCCCCCUGAGAAUCCAGCCUGGAGUAUCAGAUGGGUCCAAAACAACCACAUGGAGUUGGAUUUUGGAGCUGGGUCAUCUACCAUCUGGUUGGCAAAGAGGACCCAAGCAGUGGUCAGGGGAGCAUAGAUCUUCACACAGGUUUCUCCAACUCUCAGCUUUACGUUGUCUGCAGAGAGGCCCAUGUCGCACCCUCCUGCUUGAUGACCACCUGGAGGCCUCUCCCCUGCAAAACAACACGCAUCCUUUUCAGAAACUGCUCCCUCCUCCCCCCUGGCGGCCAGGGCAAGUCGGCAACAUGGCUCAGCUGGGGACACUCUGGGCCUGAUGGAAGAGGAAGAAGACCACACUGCAGAGGAGCUUGGGAAGCAGCCGGCUGGUUCCUGCAGAAGGCAGAGGAGUCCGCACGGAACCGGUGC